UUUCGCAAUGCCCGAAAGGGUGACGAAGCGACGCCGCGUGGGUGAGGAAGGCCCUCGGGUUGUAAAGCCCUGUCAGGAGUUAAGAAAUGUAGGUGUGCUAAUAUCACGCCUAUUUGACGAAGGCUCCAAAGGAAGUCACGGCUAACUCUGUGCCAGCAGCCGCGGUAAUACAGAGGUGGCAAGCGUUGUUCGGAAUUAUUGGGCGUAAAGAGCACGUAGGUGGGUUUGUAAGUCAGAUGUGAAAGCCUCCUGUUCAACGGGAGAAUUGCAUCUGAAACUACUGAUCUUGAGUGUAGGAGGGGAGAAUGGAACUUCUGGUGGAGCGGUGAAAUGCGUAGAUAUCAGAAGGAACGCCGGCGGCGAAAGCGAUUCUCUGGACCGAAACUGACGCUGAGUGUGCGAAAGCUAGGGGAGCAAACGGGAUUAGAUACCCCGGUAGUCCUAGCCGUAAACGAUGGGCACUAAGUAGAGGGGUUUUA
RNAcentral lists this ribosomal RNA (479 nucleotides) under uncultured bacterium. RNAcentral's name for it is "bacterial SSU rRNA". It matches the Rfam family "Bacterial small subunit ribosomal RNA", at positions 364 to 833 of the family's 1533-position model. The record is from RNAcentral.